This 678-nucleotide ribosomal RNA is filed under the name Streptomyces sp. RNAcentral's name for it is "bacterial SSU rRNA". It matches the Rfam family "Bacterial small subunit ribosomal RNA", at positions 95 to 787 of the family's 1533-position model. The record is from RNAcentral. Lineage: Bacteria; Bacillati; Actinomycetota; Actinomycetes; Kitasatosporales; Streptomycetaceae.
AUGGCGACGGGUGAGUAACACGUGGGCAAUCUGCCCUGCACUCUGGGACAAGCCCUGGAAACGGGGUCUAAUACCGGAUACUGAUCCUCGCGGGCAUCUGCGAGGUUCGAAAGCUCCGGCGGUGCAGGAUGAGCCCGCGGCCUAUCAGCUUGUUGGUGAGGUAAUGGCUCACCAAGGCGACGACGGGUAGCCGGCCUGAGAGGGCGACCGGCCACACUGGGACUGAGACACGGCCCAGACUCCUACGGGAGGCAGCAGUGGGGAAUAUUGCACAAUGGGCGAAAGCCUGAUGCAGCGACGCCGCGUGAGGGAUGACGGCCUUCGGGUUGUAAACCUCUUUCAGCAGGGAAGAAGCGAAAGUGACGGUACCUGCAGAAGAAGCGCCGGCUAACUACGUGCCAGCAGCCGCGGUAAUACGUAGGGCGCAAGCGUUGUCCGGAAUUAUUGGGCGUAAAGAGCUCGUAGGCGGCUUGUCACGUCGGUUGUGAAAGCCCGGGGCUUAACCCCGGGUCUGCAGUCGAUACGGGCAGGCUAGAGUUCGGUAGGGGAGAUCGGAAUUCCUGGUGUAGCGGUGAAAUGCGCAGAUAUCAGGAGGAACACCGGUGGCGAAGGCGGAUCUCUGGGCCGAUACUGACGCUGAGGAGCGAAAGCGUGGGGAGCGAACAGGAUUAGAUACCC